GCCAGGUGUGGUGGCUCAUGCCUGUAACCCCAGCACUUUGGGGGCCGAGGUGGGGGGAUCACUUGAGCCCAGGAGUUUGAGACCAACCUGGGCAACACAGUGGGACCCUAUCUCUA
Molecule: unclassified non-coding RNA, 116 nt
Organism: Macaca mulatta (Rhesus monkey)
Lineage: Eukaryota; Metazoa; Chordata; Mammalia; Primates; Cercopithecidae
Rfam family: Metazoan signal recognition particle RNA
About the family: The signal recognition particle (SRP) is a universally conserved ribonucleoprotein. It is involved in the co-translational targeting of proteins to membranes. The eukaryotic SRP consists of a 300-nucleotide 7S RNA and six proteins: SRPs 72, 68, 54, 19, 14, and 9.
Source: Ensembl